This 77-nucleotide non-coding RNA is filed under the name uncultured Faecousia sp. RNAcentral describes it as "pemK RNA". It matches the Rfam family "pemK RNA". The record is from RNAcentral. Lineage: Bacteria; Bacillati; Bacillota; Clostridia; Eubacteriales; Oscillospiraceae.
UGGUACUCCUGCCCAGCCACAGUCACAAGCAAUGGGGGCAGCUCGGAGAGAUCCUCGGAGGGGUGCGAUUCCCGUGA